This 73-nucleotide transfer RNA is filed under the name Danio rerio (zebrafish). It matches the Rfam family "tRNA". Rfam says of the family: Transfer RNA (tRNA) molecules are approximately 80 nucleotides in length. The record is from Rfam by way of RNAcentral. Lineage: Eukaryota; Metazoa; Chordata; Actinopteri; Cypriniformes; Danionidae.
GACGCAGUGGCGCAGAAGGUAGUGCUGUCGCCUCACAGCAAGAAGGUCGCUGGUUCGAGCCCAGUCUGGGUCA